CCCUUAGAUGUUCUGGGCGGCCCGCGCACUACAUUGGCACUAGCAAAGAGAUCCUAGAUUGAAUUCUUUGGGGUAUUCUUCUAAAUGGUGUCGUGACUGGGAUAAAUCCUUGUAAUUAUUGGUUUUGAACGAGGAAUUCCUUGUAAUCGCGGUUUAUCAGCUCGCGUUGAAUGCGUCCCUGCCCUUUGUACACACCGCCCGUCGCUCCUACCGAUGGAUCGUCCGGUGUAGCUCACGGAGUGACUGUUCACGCAACGGUUUACGAAGUGAAAUGGACCUCACGAUUUAGAGGAAGGAGAAGUCGUAACA
RNAcentral lists this ribosomal RNA (309 nucleotides) under uncultured eukaryote. RNAcentral describes it as "partial 18S ribosomal RNA". It matches the Rfam family "Eukaryotic small subunit ribosomal RNA", at positions 1470 to 1796 of the family's 1831-position model. The record is from RNAcentral.